Molecule: ribosomal RNA, 114 nt
Filed under: uncultured delta proteobacterium
Lineage: Bacteria; Deltaproteobacteria
Description: partial 23S ribosomal RNA
Rfam family: Bacterial large subunit ribosomal RNA
Source: RNAcentral
GGUCAAGCUACUAAGGGCACAUGGUGGAUGCCUUGGCGCAAGUAGGCGAUGAAGGGCGUGGCUAGCUGCGAUAAGCUUCGGGGAGCCGCUAAGCAGGCUUUGAUCCGAAGAUUU